Molecule: long non-coding RNA, 484 nt
Filed under: Heterocephalus glaber (naked mole-rat)
Lineage: Eukaryota; Metazoa; Chordata; Mammalia; Rodentia; Bathyergidae
Description: lncRNA (ENSHGLG00100050160.1)
Source: RNAcentral
UAGGAUGGCUAACCAGUGUGUUUGAGUUCUUAAAGAAUCUGGCAGCUGAGGUCAUGGGACUAGGAUUAUUCAAGACUAAGUUUCCAACCCAUCAAUCCAACAUUUAUUGAGGACUUCUUGUGGACAAAGGGCUCUGUUUGCCUUUGUCUGGAUAUUCAGAAGACCCAUGUGAACAAUGCAAAAUAAAGUAGCAGUAAAAGAGAACGGACAAAUACAGUCACAAGGAAGGGAGGCUCUUGACGUCAAUAGGAAGUAAGAUGAGAAGUCUAGAGACUGGGCGGGAGAGUUCAAAUGAUUCUACGUGGGAGGAGAUUAAAAAUGGUAAAGUAAGAACAAGCUGCAAAAUAGACCCUCUUUGAAAUGUGAAUCAAAACAUUUUGAAAACAACCUAGCAAAGAAAAAAGAAGUAGAACUCUGGGAAUCAAGAAAAAGCUGGUAGGAAAACUAGAAACUAGAGAGAAACUGAAAAGGAUGCAAAGAAAAG